CCUCGGAGAGUUUGAUCCUGGCUCAGGACGAACGCUGGCGGCGUGCCUAAUACAUGCAAGUCGAGCGAACAGAAGGGAGCUUGCUCCCGGAUGUUAGCGGCGGACGGGUGAGUAACACGUGGGUAACCUGCCUGUAAGACUGGGAUAACUCCGGGAAACCGGAGCUAAUACCGGAUAGUUCCUUGAACCGCAUGGUUCAAGGAUGAAAGACGGUUUCGGCUGUCACUUACAGAUGGACCCGCGGCGCAUUAGCUAGUUGGUGGGGUAAUGGCUCACCAAGGCGACGAUGCGUAGCCGACCUGAGAGGGUGAUCGGCCACACUGGGACUGAGACACGGCCCAGACUCCUACGGGAGGCAGCAGUAGGGAAUCUUCCGCAAUGGACGAAAGUCUGACGGAGCAACGCCGCGUGAGUGAUGAAGGUUUUCGGAUCGUAAAGCUCUGUUGUUAGGGAAGAACAAGUGCGAGAGUAACUGCUCGCACCUUGACGGUACCUAACCAGAAAGCCACGGCUAACUACGUGCCAGCAGCCGCGGUAAUACGUAGGUGGCAAGCGUUGUCCGGAAUUAUUGGGCGUAAAGGGCUCGCAGGCGGUUUCUUAAGUCUGAUGUGAAAGCCCCCGGCUCAACCGGGGAGGGUCAUUGGAAACUGGGAAACUUGAGUGCAGAAGAGGAGAGUGGAAUUCCACGUGUAGCGGUGAAAUGCGUAGAGAUGUGGAGGAACACCAGUGGCGAAGGCGACUCUCUGGUCUGUAACUGACGCUGAGGAGCGAAAGCGUGGGGAGCGAACAGGAUUAGAUACCCUGGUAGUCCACGCCGUAAACGAUGAGUGCUAAGUGUUAGGGGGUUUCCGCCCCUUAGUGCUGCAGCUAACGCAUUAAGCACUCCGCCUGGGGAGUACGGUCGCAAGACUGAAACUCAAAGGAAUUGACGGGGGCCCGCACAAGCGGUGGAGCAUGUGGUUUAAUUCGAAGCAACGCGAAGAACCUUACCAGGUCUUGACAUCCUCUGACAACCCUAGAGAUAGGGCUUUCCCUUCGGGGACAGAGUGACAGGUGGUGCAUGGUUG
RNAcentral lists this ribosomal RNA (1067 nucleotides) under Bacillus pumilus. Its description in RNAcentral is "bacterial SSU rRNA". It matches the Rfam family "Bacterial small subunit ribosomal RNA", at positions 1 to 1051 of the family's 1533-position model. The record is from RNAcentral. Lineage: Bacteria; Bacillati; Bacillota; Bacilli; Caryophanales; Bacillaceae.